UUGGGGAAUAUUGCACAAUGGGGGAAACCCUGAUGCAGCGACGCCGCGUGAGUGAAGAAGUAUUUCGGUACGUAAAGCUCUAUCAGCAAGGAAGAAAAUGACGGUACUUGACUAAGAAGCCCCGGCUAACUACGUGCCAGCAGCCGCGGUAAUACGUAGGGGGCAAGCGUUAUCCGGAUUUACUGGGUGUAAAGGGAGCGUAGACGGUAUGGUAAGUCAGAUGUGAAAGCCCGGGGCUCAACCCCGGGACUGCAUUUGAAACUAUCAGACUAGAGUGCAGGAGAGGUAAGUGGAAUUCCUAGUGUAGCGGUGAAAUGCGUAGAUAUUAGGAGGAACACCAGUGGCGAAGGCGGCUUACUGGACUGUAACUGACGUUGAGGCUCGAAAGCGUGGGGAGCAAACAGGAUUAGAAACCCGGGUAGUCC
RNAcentral lists this ribosomal RNA (425 nucleotides) under uncultured bacterium. RNAcentral's name for it is "partial 16S ribosomal RNA". It matches the Rfam family "Bacterial small subunit ribosomal RNA", at positions 354 to 796 of the family's 1533-position model. The record is from RNAcentral.